RNA transcript from Anas platyrhynchos (mallard), 2669 nucleotides. It is a transcript of the gene named exoribonuclease 1, with no coding region annotated. The record is from RefSeq and is a predicted model, not a curated record. Lineage: Eukaryota; Metazoa; Chordata; Aves; Anseriformes; Anatidae.
CCGCUCUCCCCGCCCCGGGGGCGGCCCCGCCGCUCCUCCCGCCUCUCCCGGCCACCAGCAGCACCACCACCGCCAUGGAGGGGCAGCAGGAGGAGCAUGAGGAGCAGAAGGAGAACCGCCCGCAGCCCGCCCGCCCGCCGCCGCCUCCCGCCGCCCGCCCGCCGGGCAAGCAGCACGGCUGGGGCUGGUGAGCAAGGCACUGAGGGGAAGAGCCCCGGCUCGGGUCAGGGCGCCUUCAGCGACCCGGUGUACAAGGAGAUCGCCGUCACCAACGGCUACAUCAACAGGAUGAGCCGAGAAGAGCUCAGAAGUAAACUUGCAGAGUUCAAGCUUGAAACCAGAGGAGUAAAAGAUGUGCUGAAGAAGAGACUGAAGAAUUAUUACAAGAAACAGAAGCUGAUGCAGAAGGAAGUUCUUAAUUCAGACGGCUACUAUGACUAUAUCUGCGUUGUUGACUUCGAAGCAACCUGUGAAGAAGGAAACCCACCUGAAUUCGUACAUGAAAUAAUUGAGUUUCCCAUUGUCUUAUUGAACACUCAUACCCUGGAAAUAGAGGAUACGUUUCAGCAGUAUGUGAAGCCAGAGGUUAAUCCCAAACUUUCAAAUUUCUGUAUUGGUCUGACAGGAAUCACCCAGGACAUCAUUGAUAAAGCUGAUGCAUUUCCUCAAGUUCUACAGAACGUCAUAGAGUGGAUGAGACAGCGAGAACUGGGAACAAAGUACAGCUAUUGCAUGUUGACAGAUGGAUCUUGGGAUAUGAGUAAAUUUCUGAAUAUCCAGUGCCGUGUUAGCCGUAUUAAAUACCCUUCGUUUGCCAAAAAGUGGAUCAAUAUUCGCAAAUCAUAUGGGAACUUCUAUAAGGUUCCUAGGAACCAGACCAAGCUGACAAUCAUGCUUGAAAAGCUGGGGAUGACCUACGACGGGAGACCCCACAGUGGACUUGACGACUCUAAAAACAUUGCAAGGAUAGCUAUAAGGAUGCUGCAGGAUGGCUGUGAACUGCGAGUGAAUGAGAAAAUGCAUGCGGGACAGCUCAUGACAGUCUCCUCUUCAACCCCCAUAGAGGGAGCCCCUGCUCCACAGAUGCCCCGUUACAGAAACUAACAGUUCAGGGCUUCUGCAUUAGGAACUGCUCUCAGAUACCCACUACAGAUUGUUAAUAGCUUGUCAAACGGCAACCUCUGCAAACCUCUCGGCAAUUCAGAACCUGAAGGCACCUUAACUAAUGGUCUUUGUUGAAAAAAAAGAGUGUGGAAGCUUUUUGAAGCCUGUGUUACAACGUUGGUUUUUUAUACUGAUGAUUUUUUUGUUGUUGUUGUAACUGGUUUUUGCACCUUUUCCAGCAGUAAGGCUGAUAUGCAAAAUCCAGGCAAAGUGGUAAGCUUUUAAGGACAUGGAAUUUAAACACAUGCAAAGAUUGGUUAGGCUUGUGUGCUACUGUUCCACACCAGCUUGUGGGGAGUAUUUAUUCAUUAUUCCAUACUAUAAUGAUAUCUAGCAUAUCAUUAUUAAUUGCAUCCAAACAAGAUGUUGCUAGAAGAGCUGAAAUAAAGAUUGGCUGGGCUGGCCUCUGCUGAUAAGGCAAUCUCAUUAGGAUUCCUGCUGAUAAUUGUUUUUCACAAAGUCUGAGAAAUUGGAGCAUCUUCAUCAACUCUAAAGCAAUAGAGAAGUAGUGUGGGUUUCUUUCUUUCUUUUUUCUUUUUUUUUUCUUUUUAAUCUAAGGGAUAUGCUUGUCUUUGACCACAUCAAUUAUACAAGCUGUGCGUUGAAUAAAAAAUCCAUUCAUGCAGUAUGGCAUUAAUUUUCUUAACCCAUAUUUAAAAAGAGGAGGUGCUUUGGAACUUCACUUUGAGGAUCAAAUUUCCUGUGCCUGCUACACUCAAGCUAAAUCAAAUGAAGGACAGCCUAUUUGAACAUUUGUCAUCUAUUUUGACUUAAAAACGAAGUGAAAUAAAAGCCCCAGAUGAUACUCAAAUGUGGCCAAACCAUUCAUUUACUUUACCUCAGUGGGCUAUGGCAAAGUACAGCUUCAAUGUGAUCAGCUUUGCAUUAGAAUGGCUUGUUCUGAAAAGCAGAAUUUUGAUUGCUCUCGGUCAAAAAAAAAAAAAAAGUUUGUUUGGUAUCCCUGUAUUAUAAUUCAUUCUUUCUUUCUGCUGCUUAUUUUAAAGAAACAGAACUAAUAAUUCAUGAUAAAGCCUUGUUUGUUUAGGACAUUUACUGCUUGGCUAGUCAAACUCCUCUUGGUUCCCCUUGUUCUUCUGUCUGUUAACUGUUUCAGUGGUAACCUGAAAACAUUAUUAUAAAUUCAUGUGAGAGAUAAAUACUGGUCAAUUCUCCAAUGAUUUGUAGGAAUAAGGCAGUUUUCUUUCCACUCAUAGCUACAGGCACUGCUGUGGGCACUUGGGGACAGCUACUUUAGGAUGGUCGUUCUUUUCCUGUGAGUGAAUAUUUGUUUUACUUGUAGCCUUUUGUUGAACUUCACAUUUUCCUCUUUCUGUAGAAAUACUUGAUGUAUUUUCAGAAAGAUAAAAUCUCUGUUACACUUACUCUGACCACUUAAUUCUAGUCCCGUAUUUUCUACAAACUGUUACUUACAUAUUUGUUCUCUGUAGAGAUAAUAUUCUCUUCUGGAAUUGUGAAAAAACAUAGUAACUUCUUCCGUCUCAGAA